RNAcentral lists this long non-coding RNA (265 nucleotides) under Manihot esculenta (cassava). RNAcentral's name for it is "long non-coding RNA (MESC_LNC012493)". The record is from RNAcentral. Lineage: Eukaryota; Viridiplantae; Streptophyta; Magnoliopsida; Malpighiales; Euphorbiaceae.
UUUACAAAACAAUUGGACCAAUGUAUCAUUACAUAUCAUAGGCCAACAAUUAGAUAGGAUAGAAGAAAAGAUAGAUAGAAAUCACGAAGACAUUACAAAUAUAGAACACAUAGAAACACCCCAGGCACCAUCUCCUUUGAUACCAAAAUCAAACACAAUAUAUGUAUCCCAACGAUAUAGUAAUCCAAAACCAUAUGAUCUAAUAGAUCCAUCUAUAAAACCCAUUAAACAACCUUUCACAAAAAUGAUACCUCCAUCACAAAAC